RNAcentral lists this transfer RNA (76 nucleotides) under Fidelibacterota bacterium PRS2. RNAcentral's name for it is "Candidatus Marinimicrobia bacterium PRS2 tRNA-Gly". It matches the Rfam family "tRNA". Rfam says of the family: Transfer RNA (tRNA) molecules are approximately 80 nucleotides in length. Their secondary structure includes four short double-helical elements and three loops (D, anti-codon, and T loops). Lineage: Bacteria; Pseudomonadati; Fidelibacterota. The record is from RNAcentral.
GCGGGAGUAGCUCAGUUGGUAGAGCAUCAGCCUUCCAAGCUGAGGGUCGCAGGUUCGAGUCUUGUCUCCCGCUCAA